This 406-nucleotide ribosomal RNA is filed under the name uncultured bacterium. Its description in RNAcentral is "partial 16S ribosomal RNA". It matches the Rfam family "Bacterial small subunit ribosomal RNA", at positions 28 to 526 of the family's 1533-position model. The record is from RNAcentral.
GGCGAACGCUGGCGGCGUGCUUAACACAUGCAAGUCGAACGAGUGGCGAACGGGUGAGUAAUACGUGAGUAACUGCCUGCUAGAGGGGGAUAACUAUUGGACACGAUAGCUAAUACCGCAUACUAGUAGAUGGACCUGCGUUGGAUUAGCUAGUAGGUAGGGUAAUGGCCUACCUAGGCAACGAUACAUAGCCGACCUGAGAGGGGGAUCGGCCACACUGGGGCGGAGACACGGCCCAGACUCCUACGGGAGGCAGCAGGAGGAAAUCUGCGGCAAUGGGGGGAACCCUGACCGAGCAACGCCGCGUGAGUGAAGGAGGUUUUCGGAUCGUAAAGCUCUGUUGUUAAGGAAGCGGUACUUAACCAGAAAGGGACGGCUAACUACGUGCCAGCAGCCGCGGUAAUUC